UGGCGGACGGGUGAGUAAUGUCUGGGAAACUGCCUGAUGGAGGGGGAUAACUACUGGAAACGGUAGCUAAUACCGCAUAACGUCGCAAGACCAAAGAGGGGGACCUUCGGGGCCUCUUGCCAUCGGAUGUGCCCAGAUGGGAUUAGCUAGUAGGUGGGGUAACGGCUCACCUAGGCGACGAUCCCUAGCUGGUCUGAGAGGAUGACCAGCCACACUGGAACUGAGACACGGUCCAG
RNAcentral lists this ribosomal RNA (236 nucleotides) under uncultured bacterium. RNAcentral describes it as "partial 16S ribosomal RNA". It matches the Rfam family "Bacterial small subunit ribosomal RNA", at positions 96 to 334 of the family's 1533-position model. The record is from RNAcentral.